AUGAACAAGGUCUUUAGGUGCAAGAUCACCGUCCAGGGUAUUGCGCUCAACCACACUUGGAAGGCUAUGGAGGAUGGUGAUGCAUAUCAUUGUACUAAUCUGAAUUGUGUUAACAGGACUGCUAGCCCUAGGUACAAGCUUCCUAUAAUCGCAGCUGAUGGAAACGCUACAGUGGAAAUGGUUUUCUUUGGUGAUGUUGAUAGGGAUGUUGUGGGCAGGCCAGCUGAUCAGGUGCUGGAGAGUUUUCUAGCAAAUAGCUCCGUCAUGCCAGCAAAGAUAAUGACUCUGGUUGGAAGGAAAUAUAUUGUAGAGGUCACGGUGUCAAAGUAUUCUUGUAGGAGAGACAAGGAUGGGCUGAGCUUUCCAGUGCUCAAAUUUUUCACGGAGGCUGGUUUUAUGUACCACGAUUUUGUUGUGGGUGUGGGUUCUUCCAGUAGCGCUCCAAUGCAGCAAGUUCCAUUUUCUGGAGGUGUACAUACCAGCCAUGCAGAGCUUCCUCAGGGUACCUGCUCGCUUCCAGUGGCCAUGAUGAAUACAGUUUCUAGCGUGCACACCAGUCAUGCUGAGCUUCCUCAGGACACUUCCUCACUUCCUAACGUGCGCACCAGUAAUACUGAGUUUCCUCAAGGCACUUCCUCACUUCCAGGGGACAUGUUGGGGACUGAAAUGCAGAAUCCAAAUCUUACUAAUGUUGCUCAGCUCAUGUCCAUGCGCCGAGAAGACAUGCUGCAAACACAGUCCCAUAACGUAUGCACUGCUGAUGUGCCGGACAAGACUAAGGUGAAGGAGACCAAGAAUAAAAGGUCACGUUGGAGUAAUGCAAAGUCGAUUGCAUCUAAAAACUUGUUCGUUGAUGGGAGCGACACAGCUGGACAUAGGGUGGACGAUAAGUGA
RNAcentral lists this ribosomal RNA (894 nucleotides) under Triticum aestivum (bread wheat). RNAcentral's name for it is "partial small subunit ribosomal RNA". Lineage: Eukaryota; Viridiplantae; Streptophyta; Magnoliopsida; Poales; Poaceae. The record is from RNAcentral.